UAGCAGAACUUCAGAAGUCAAACAGUAGACCAUGGACCAAAAGAAUUGGCCGUGGAGAAAAAAAUCCUCAGAGAGAAGAAUAAUUGCAAAUGACAAAGCUGAUCUUUCCAUUAAUGACAACGAUGAGGAGGUACUAUACAUAUCAUGUUUUUACCGUACUCGAGCCUAGCUGUGUAAAAUGUUGUUGGCCUUUUGACAUUUGACAUGAAAUUGUAUCCAAAACCUCAUAGCUAGUUGAUUAUGAUUUGAUUUGCUGAUACUCUUAAAUGU
Molecule: long non-coding RNA, 270 nt
Organism: Ipomoea nil (Japanese morning glory)
Lineage: Eukaryota; Viridiplantae; Streptophyta; Magnoliopsida; Solanales; Convolvulaceae
Exons: 3
Source: RefSeq, a predicted model, not a curated record